Molecule: long non-coding RNA, 321 nt
Filed under: Rhinopithecus roxellana (golden snub-nosed monkey)
Lineage: Eukaryota; Metazoa; Chordata; Mammalia; Primates; Cercopithecidae
Description: lncRNA (ENSRROG00000045966.1)
Source: RNAcentral
CUUCCCUCAAGCAAAGGACCUCCUGGCACAGGUCACUUGUCCCUGUGAUGAAGUUCACAGCAGAGCUGGAAUUUGAACUCUCUGCCCACAAUGUAUGACACAAAGGCCCAGGAAUGCGGCUUACACAGUCCUGACCCUACAGCUGGCCCUCCAUCCUCACUGCUCUCCCAGGAGAAGGUGGGAACUGGCUUCUUCAGCCAAGGACAAAGCCACGGUGGACAAUCGCAGGCCCAGGCCCAAGGUUUGCCCUCCCUCCUGCCUCCAUCUUUACAAAUCUCACUCAUGCAUGAUGCCAACUCCCCUCCUACUGAUGACUCCAUC